Molecule: ribosomal RNA, 590 nt
Filed under: Paenibacillus lautus
Lineage: Bacteria; Bacillati; Bacillota; Bacilli; Caryophanales; Paenibacillaceae
Description: bacterial SSU rRNA
Rfam family: Bacterial small subunit ribosomal RNA
Source: RNAcentral
UUUAUUUCACAGCAUUGUGGAAUAAUGAAAGACGGAGCAAUCUGUCACUUGGGGAGGGGCCUGCGCGCGCAUUAGCUAGUUGGUGGGGUAAUGGCUCACCAAGGCGACGAUGCGUAGCCGACCUGAGAGGGUGAACGGCCACACUGGGACUGAGACACGGCCCAGACUCCUACGGGAGGCAGCAGUAGGGAAUCUUCCGCAAUGGGCGAAAGCCUGUACGGAGCAACGCCGCGUGGAGUGAUGAAGGUUUUCGGAUCGUAAAUCUUUGUUGCCAAGGAAGAACGUCUUCUAGAGUAACUGGGCUAGGAGAGUGACGGUACUUGACCGAAGAAAGCCCCGGCUAACUACGUGCCAGCAGCCGCGGUAAUACGUAGGGGGCAAGCGUUGUCCGGAAUUAUUGGGCGUAAAGCGCGCGCAGGCGGUUCUUUAAGUCUGGUGUUUAAACCCGAGGCUCAACUUCGGGUCGCACUGGAAACUGGGGGACUUGAGUGCAGAAGAGGAGAGUGGAAUUCCACGUGUAGCGGUGAAAUGCGUAGAUAUGUGGAGGAACACCAGUGGCGAAGGCGACUCUCUGGGCUGUAACUGACGCU